CGCACGUUGCAACGUAUGUGU
RNAcentral lists this non-coding RNA (21 nucleotides) under Arabidopsis thaliana (thale cress). The record is from RNAcentral. Lineage: Eukaryota; Viridiplantae; Streptophyta; Magnoliopsida; Brassicales; Brassicaceae.